Molecule: long non-coding RNA, 289 nt
Filed under: Brassica rapa (field mustard)
Lineage: Eukaryota; Viridiplantae; Streptophyta; Magnoliopsida; Brassicales; Brassicaceae
Description: long non-coding RNA (BRAP_LNC008226)
Source: RNAcentral
AGGCACGGUUGAGAGAUAAGGAGAACACUCCACGCUUCAAGCUUCUUUCUUCUUCAAGAACUGAACUUGGCUGGUAAUGUCUUCAAGGGUUUGGUUUGAGCUGAGAUGAGAGCUGUGGAUUUGCGGAAGCUCAGCUCAGGUUCUGAUGAACCUGGCUCUGAUACCAUAUGAGAUUUGAGAGCUCUGGCUGUGUAUGUGUAUGAGAAGCCAUUAGAGGCAAAGAAUAAGGUCUUGAACUAGUUGAAUAAGAGGUCUGAGGAAACUAGUAUGAACUUGAAUCAGAAACAAA